Molecule: ribosomal RNA, 253 nt
Filed under: uncultured bacterium
Lineage: Bacteria
Description: partial 16S ribosomal RNA
Rfam family: Bacterial small subunit ribosomal RNA
Source: RNAcentral
UACGUAGGGUGCGAGCGUUAAUCGGAAUUACUGGGCGUAAAGCGUGCGCAGGCGGCUUUGCAAGACAGAUGUGAAAUCCCCGGGCUCAACCUGGGAACUGCAUUUGUGACUGCAUGGCUAGAGUACGGUAGAGGGGGAUGGAAUUCCGCGUGUAGCAGUGAAAUGCGUAGAUAUGCGGAGGAAUACCGAUGGCGAAGGCAAUCCCCUGGACCUGUACUGACGCUCAUGCACGAAAGCGUGGGGAGCAAACAGG